UACGUAGGUGGCAAGCAUUAUCCGGAUUUACUGGGCGUAAAGGGUGCGUAGGCGGAUUUUUAAGUGAGAUGUGAAAUACCCGGGCUUAACCUGGGGGCUGCAUUUCAAACUGGAAAUCUAGAGUGCAGGAGAGGAAAGUGGAAUUCCUAGUGUAGCGGUGAAAUGCGUAGAGAUUAGGAAGAACACCAGUGGCGAAGGCGACUUUCUGGACUGUAACUGACGCUGAGGCACGAAAGCGUGGGGAGCAAACAGG
This 253-nucleotide ribosomal RNA is filed under the name uncultured bacterium. RNAcentral's name for it is "partial 16S ribosomal RNA". It matches the Rfam family "Bacterial small subunit ribosomal RNA", at positions 524 to 776 of the family's 1533-position model. The record is from RNAcentral.